Molecule: long non-coding RNA, 653 nt
Organism: Homo sapiens (human)
Lineage: Eukaryota; Metazoa; Chordata; Mammalia; Primates; Hominidae
Source: Ensembl
AGUCUACAAAACCCCACAGCUCCUAAGAAUUCUCUCACCUGCCUUCUGCCCUUAAUUUCCGGUAGAUUGCAAAUAACCUGCUUUCUUUCUGUUCCCGAGCUGCGUUCGGACCCGUCGGAUCGUAAAUCCCACAUAAGGUACCUGCCGUCAGAAGAUUUGAACUCUCUACUUGGACACCUAAUACCCACAGUCCUCCAGCUGCGUUCGGACCCGUCGGAUCGUAAAUCCCAUGUAAGGUACCUGCCGUCGGAAGAUUUGAUCUUUCUACUUGGACACCUAAUACCCACAGUCCUCCAGCUGCGUUCGGACCCCUGUCGUAUUGUAAAUCCCACGCAAGGUACCUGCCGUCGGAAGAUUUGAGCUUUCUUCUUGAACACCUCAUACCCACAGUCCUCCAGACAGAAGGACAACAGUCUUCCCUGACAAGCCAGAGAACAGCGAUAAAGCCACCAGCCUUGGGAUCAGGACUGAAAAGGCAAGAGUGAUGGAGAUUUCUCCUGCGCUAAGCCAAGAGAAGGUUUCAGCACCUCAGACAGCUCCCACCGAAGUAGCGGCGCUCCCAGCUGCUUGCAGAUGUGGAAAAGGAAAGCCUCGGUUUGUCUUGAGGUUGUCAGCAGUUGCAAGACACGUAAUAAAAUGCAAUGUGUUCCUAA